CUCCAAAACUAGAGAUAACAACUCCUGAACAUCAAGCAGUUUAGAAAUCAAGCAACACCAGCAGCGAAUGCUGGAAAUUCUCUGUAAAAGAAAGGGAGCUUUUUCUGUGAAGCUACAGCAAAUUCCACGAGGUGCCCUGCAGCUCAAGAACAAAGGCAACAAAGAAGCAAGGCAGGAAAGCUCCAGGCAACGCAGAUAAGAUCUCCGACAAACAGGAACAGCUGAUAUGCGGGAAACAAACGUGGGGGCUAGCUGGCGAAAAGAGGGUGAGCCCCCUCUGCGCCGGCCCUAAAUAGGGCAGACACGGCCGGGAUUCCCCUGCUCUCGCGGGGGCUGAAACCAGCCCCCGCUCACGUGGGGGGUGGGCGUGAAGCCCGCAACCCCACCUCCUGGGCAGGCCGGAAGUAGCUUUGUGCUUAUUUCAAUUCGCAUGGGGUUUUAUGGGUGUGCACCAGAAUGACCCCCAGCCAAAGCAAAAAGGUCUUUUGGGUUCCAGCUACAUAAAAAGAAGAUGAUAAAGCUCUGAUUGGGCUUAUUUCAAAUUGGUGUUUUUGGGUUUAGAAUGCACAUUCACACAAAAAUCGCAGAGUGACAUGUUUAUUAUCAGACCAAACCAAGCAUAAGUGUUUUGGUUCCAUCUCAAUAGAAAGAGGACGAAUAAAGUUGCAUUGUUCUUUUGGUGUUCAGUCCCCCACCAAUAGCAAAGCAAACUGUAAUAAGCCUAAACAAAGCCAAACAGGUUGUUUUCGGGUGCAGCAACAUAGAAAGAAGAAUCUUGCAUUUUGCUUAUUUCGUGUUCUUUGGUGUUAAUGCACAUUGACCCAGAAAUCUCAAAGUGUGUGUAAUGAGACCAAAAUAACACAACACUGUCUUUUCACUUCCAUACGCGUAGAAAUACACUGGUGCCCCGCAAGACGAACGCCUCGCAAGACGAAAAACUCGCAAGACGAAAGGUUUUUUCGUUUUCGAGUUGCUUCACAAGAUGAAUGUCCCUAUGGGCUUGCUUCGCAAGACGAAAACGUCUUGCAAGUUUGUUUCCUUUUCGUAAAACCGUUAAAACCCAGGGUGCAUUGCUGGAAGAGGUGCAGUUGCGACUUGACCUCGAGGAGCAACACAUUGCACGCAGUGUGGUGGCCUUUCUGAGCUUUUUAAAGAGUUUGCUGGAUUUUUGAAGCUUUUCCAAAACUUCUUCUGCAGCUGUUUGGUAAGUUAAACUUUUAAAACUUUUUUUGGGUUUUUUGGAUUUUCGGUUGGGGUGUUUAGAAUUCAAGGACUUGGUUUUGGGGAGGUGUUUGCAAGAAUCUGGGAGCUUGUGUGGGGUUUUUUUUGAAUUUUUAUGAUUUUUUGUGACCAUUGGGCCAUGUUGUUUUUUUGUGAAAAAAAUUUCUGGGUUUUAAAUUUCUGUGUGCUGGGUGGAUGGGGGAACAGCUGGAGAGGGGUUUGCAAGAAUCUGGGAGCUUGUGUGCUUUUUUUUGAAUUUUUAUGAUUUUUGUGACCAUUGGGCCAUGUUGUUGUUUUUGAAAAAAAUUUCUGGGUUUUAAAUUUCUGUGUGCUGGGUGGAUGGGGAACAGCUGGGGAGGUGUUUGCAGGAAUCUGGGAGCGUGUGUGCUUUUUUUGACUUUUUAUGAUUUUUUGUGCCCAUUGGGCCAUGUUGUUGUUUUUUGACAAAGUUUCUGGGUUUUAAAUUUCUGUGUGCUGGGUGGAUGGGGAACAGCUGGGGAGGGGUUUGCAAGAAUCUGGGAGCUUGUGUGCUUUUUUUUGAAUUUUUAUGAUUUUUUGUGACCAUUGGGCCAUGUUGUUUUUUUUGAAAAAAAUUUCUGGGUUUUAAAUUUCUGUGUGCUGGGUGGAUGGGGGAACAGGGGGGGAGGUGUUUGAAUGAUUGUGGGUUGUUGUGUGGUUUUUUUUGAAUUUUUAUGUUUUUUUUGUGACCAUUGGGCCAUGUUGUUUUUUUUUGAAAAAAAUUUCUGGGUUUUAAAUUUCUGUGUGCUGGGUGGAUGGGGGAACAGCUGGGGAGGGGUUGGCAGGAAUCUGGGAGCUUGUGUGCUUUUUUUGAAUUUUUAUGGUUGUGUGUGCCCAUUGGGCCAUGUUGUUGUUUUUUUGAAAAAAAUUUCUGGGUUUUAAAUUUCUGUGUGCUGGGUGGAUGGGGGAACAGCUGGGGAGGGGUUUGCAAGAAUCUGGGAGCUUGUGUGCUUUUUUUUUGAAUUUUUAUGGUUUUUUGUGACCAUUGGGCCAGGUGUUUUUUUUUUGAAAAAAUUUCUGGGUUUUAAAUUUCUGUGUGCUGGGUGGAUGGGGGAACAGCUGGGGAGGGGUUUGCUCGAAUCUGGGUGCUUGUGUGCUUUUUUUGAAUUUUUAUGAUUUUCUGUAACCAUUGGGCCAUGUUGUUUUUUUUUGAAAAAUUUUCUGGGUUUUGAAUUUCUGUGUGCUGGGUGGCUGGGGGAACAGCUGGGGAGGGGUUUGCAGGAAUCUGGGAGCUUGUGUGCUUUUUUUUGAAUUUUUAUGAUUUUCUGUAACCAUUGGGCCAUGUUGUUUUUUUUUGAAAAAUUUUCUGGGUUUUGAAUUUCUGUGUGCUGGGUGGCUGGGGGACCAGCUGGGGAGGGGUUUGCAGGAAUCUGGGAGCUUGUGUGCUGUUUUUGAAUUUUUAUGGUUUUCUGUAACCAUUGGGCCAUGUUGUUGUUUUUUGAAAAAAUUUUCUGGGUUUUGAAUUUCUGUGUGCUGGGUGGCUGGGGGAACAGCUGGGGAGGGGUUUGCAGGAAUCUGGGAGCUUGUGUGCUUUUUUUUGAAUUUUUAUGGUUUUCUGUAACCAUUGGGCCAUGUUGUUGUUUUUUUGAAAAAAUUUUCUGGGUUUUGAAUUUCUGUGUGCUGGGUGGCUGGGGGAACAGCUGGGGAGGGGUUUGCAGGAAUCUGGGAGCUUGUGUGCUUUUUUUUGAAUUUUUAUGGUUUUCUGUAACCAUUGGGCCAUGUUGUUGUUUUUUUGAAAAAAAUUUCUGGGUUUUGAAUUUCUGUGUGCUGGGUGGCUGGGGGAACAGCUGGGGAGGGGUUUGCAACAGUUGGGGAGGGGUUUGCAACAGUUGGGGAGGGGCUGGGGGAACAGUUGAGGUUUUUGAAGACUUUGGUGAUUUUUAAAGCUUUCCCAAAACUUCUUUUGCAGCCAUUUGAGGAUUUUGAAGACUUUGGUGAUUUGCAGCCAUUUCGUAAGUUAAACUUUUAAAACUUUUUUGGGGUUUUUGGAUUUUGGGUUGGGUGUUUGGAAUUCAAGGACUUGGUUGUGGGUUUGAAUUGCUGAUUUUUCUUUUCUUUUUCUGAGUUUACAAAGGUAACAGCUGUGCUGCCAUGGGACCCAAGAAGGCUGCUGCUGCGGAGGCCGGCGAGAGGAAGAAGGAGAAGGUGACGCUGGAGAUGAAGAAGGAGAUCAUCCGGAAGCACGAUGGUGGAAUGCGUGUGACGGACCUCGCCAGGGAGUACGGCAGGAACCCAUCGACCAUCGGGACCAUCCUGAAGAUGAGAGAGAAGAUCCUUGCGACUGAUGCAGCCAAGGGAGUCACCAGGAUCGUGAAGAACCGCCCAGCUGUUCUGGAGGAGGUCGAGAAGUUGCUGCUCAUCUGGUUAGAAGAGAAGCAGCGUGCAGGGGACACAGUGACUGAGGCCAUGAUUUGUGAGAAGGCCGAGGCCUUGCACGCAGACCUCAUCCGGGAACAGCCAGGAACCUCGGCCGAGCCAGAAGUCUUCAAGGCAAGCAGAGGCUGGUUUGACCGGUUCAAGGCAAGAUCCGGAAUCCACAGCGUGGUCAGGCAUGGAGAGGCUGCCAGUUCUGAUGUUCCUGCGGCUGAAGACUUUGCCUUGGAGUUCCUGGAGGUUGUGAAGACGGAGGGCUACGUUCCACAGCAGGUCUUCAACUGCGACGAGACCGGGCUGUUUUGGAAGAGGAUGCCCAAAAGGACUUUCCUCACACAGGAGGAGGCCAAGUUGCCUGGCCACAAGCCCAUGAAGGACCGUCUGACCCUGCUCUUCUGUGCCAACGCAAGCGGCGACCUGAAGAUCAAGCCCCUGCUGGUGUACCACUCGGAGAACCCACGGGCCUUCAAGAAACACAAGGUCGACAAGGAGCGGCUGAGUGUCAUGUGGCAAUCCAACAGCAAGGCUUGGGUCACACGUGUGCUGUUUGUGGACUGGGUCAAUCUUGCCUUUGGCCCUGCUGUCAAACAGUACCUGCUGGACAACGACCUGCCGCUGAAGGCUUUGCUUCUGAUGGACAAUGCUCCUGCUCAUCCUAAAGGCCUUGAGGUGGACUUGUUGGAGGAGUUCAGCUUCAUCAACAUCAUGUUCCUGCCGCCUAACACCACGCCACUGCUCCAGCCGAUGGAUCAGCAGGUCAUCGCCAAUUUCAAGAAACUCUACACCAAGGAGCUUUUCAGGCGAUGCUUCGAGGUGACUGAUUGCACCACCAUCACCCUGCGGGAAUUCUGGAAGGACCACUUCGACAUCGUCACCUGCUUGAAGAUGAUCACCACGGCCUGGAAGGGGAUCAGCCAGAGGAAUUUGAAUUGCGCUUGGCGCAGCCUGUGGCCGGACUGUGUGGCACCAAGUGACUCUGAUGCACCAGAGUCGACAGUGGUGCAGGACAUUGUUGCCUUGGGGAGGACCAUGGGCCUGGAGGUCACAGAGGAGGACGUCUGCGAGCUGGUGGAGGAGCACGACCACGACCAGGAGCACGACCAGGAGCUGGUUGAACUGCAGUCAGAGGUUGCGCAGGAGCAGGCCUCGCUGGAAGAGGAGGAAGCAACUGAGGAACGGCUGUCCUCCAAAGAACUGAGGGACAUUUGCCAGAAGUGGAAUGAGGUGCAGGCUUUUGCAGAGCGGCACCACCCUGACAAGCACGUGGCACAUGACCAAGCAAACAUUUUUGAUACGACGGUCAUGUCGCCUCUCAGGGAGCUGCUGAAAAGGCGGAUGAAGCAGCAGACCAUGGACAGGUUCCUCAGCAAGAAGCAAAGAGUGGAAGAGGAACCUUCUUCGAGUGGUCCCCCAGAGUCUUAGAAAAUGUAAUGUACCCUUUUUUGAUUUUUAAAUGUUUUUCCUGUCAUGUUUAGAAACUUAAUUUAUUGUUCCUUCAAUUUUUGAUAUUGUCAGGGGUUCAGAGAGAGAGGCACAGGGUAGGCAGGAGAUGGAGAGCGAAGGGGAGGAAUUCCAAGCCAGCGAGGAAGAGGACGACAAUGACUCAAGGGAUUCCAUGAGUCUUUCCAGCGAAUCAGAGGAUUCCCAGAAGGGGGCGCUGGUGGUCAGGGCCAGGGGAGCCCCAGGGGGGAAAUGUCAGGAGCAGGGUGCCAGCGGAGGAUCCCAAAGUGGCAGCUGGGCGUCAGGACCAGCCUCCCCACCAAAGUGCAGCGAAGGGUGUGGAGUUUCCAGUGUGUCAGAGGAAGGAGCUCCAGCAGCAGAGAGAGGAGGGGGUCAGAGCAAGCAGCCCUCCCGGAAGGGGAGGGAGCAGUGAAGGGAGCAGUGUAACUGUCAAAAGGAAAGUUAGAGGUUUGGCGCGCGCGCCUAGUUCAAAUGUAGAGGCGCGCGGAAGUGCAGGGAGCCCGGAGGAGGGGCCAGGUCCCAAAGCCCGCAGGAGGGGGAGCAGCAGUCUGAUUCCGCGUCAGAGGAAUCCAGAAGGGGCAAACCCCAGGGGGCAGAAAGACCCUGCGGAAAAGGAAGGAGAGAAAGAGGUGGAGCAGCGCAAGUCUCUUAAAUUGGUGCAGAGGAGGGACUGACUCAGACGGGACUUCGGCGGUCUAGCGUAAGAGACGUAAGGCUGCGCGCCUAAGAUGUCAAGCAAACCAUGAACUGCAAUAAACACCUUUGUAUUCAAGAAGACGUAGGCGUUGGUCUUUUGUGAGCUAAGACUUGAGGCAGCCUUGACAGAUAUGCUCUUUAAAGUAUGUGUGACUUUAAAGAGCAGUUAACAAACUCUUGUUGUACCAAAUUUGGCUAUGAUUGGACUUUUUUUGACCAUAGGAACGCAUUAAUUGAAUUUCAAUGCAUUCCUAUGGGAAACCGUGCUUCGCAAGACGAAAAAUUCGCUAGACGAAAAAACUCGCGGAACGAAUUAAUUUCAUCUUGCGAGGCACCACUGUAAGACAAAUCAGCUUUGAUUUUGCUUAUUUCAAUUCGCGUGGUGUUUUUUAGGUGUGCACCAGAAUCACCCCCAACGAAAACAAAAAGGUCUUUUGGGUUCCAUCUACAUAAAAAGAAGAUGAUAAAGCUCUGAUUGGGCUUAUUUCAAAUUGGUGUUUUUGGGGUUAGAAUGCACAUUCACCCAAAAAUAGCAGAGUGACAUGUUUAUUAUCAGCCCAAACCAAGCAUAGGUGUUUAGGUUCCAUCUCAAUAGAAAGAGGACGAAUAAGCUUGCAUUGUUCUUUUGGUGUUCAGUCCCCCACAAAUAGCAAAGCAACGUCUAAUAAGCCUAAACAAAGCCCAACAGGUUGUUUUGGGUUGCAGCAACAUAGAAAGAAGAAUCUUGGAUUUUGCUUAUUUCGUGUUCUUUGGUGUUAAUGCACAUUGACCCAGAAAUCUCACAAUGUGUGUAAUGAGACCAAAAUAGCACAACACUGUCUUCUCGCUUCCAUGCGCGUAGAAAUAAGACAAAUAAGCUUUGAGUGUGCUUAUUUCAAUUCGCGUGGUGUUUUUUAGGUGUGCACCAGAAUCACCCCCAACGAAAACAAAAAGGUCUUUUGGGUUCCAUCUACAUAAAAAGAAGAUGAUAAAGCUCUGAUUGGGCUCAUUUCAAAUUGGUGUUUUUGGGGUUAGAAUGCACAUUCACCCAAAAACCGCAGAGUGACAUGUUUGUUAUCAGCCCAAACCAAGCAUAGGUGCUUUGGUUCCAUCUCAAUAGAAAGUGGACGAAUAAGCUUGUAUUGUUCUUUCGGUGUUCAUUCACGAACAAUUAGCAAAGCAAAUUGUAAUAAGCCUAAACAAAGCUAAAUAGGUUCUUUUGGGUUCCAGCUACAUAGAACGAAGAAUCUUUGAUUACGCUUAAUUCGUCGUGUUCUUUGGUGUUAAUGCACAUUGACCCAGAAAUCGCAAAGUGUGUGUAAUGAGACCAAAAUAACACAACAUUGUCUUUUCGCUUCCAUAUGCGUAGAAAGAAGACAAAUAAGCUUUGAUUGUGCUUAUUUCAGUUCGCAUGGGGUUUUAUGGGUGUGCACCAGAAUCACCACCAACCAAAGCAAAAAGGUCUUUUGGGUUCCAUCUACAUAAAAAGAAGAUGAUAAAGCUCUCAUUGGGCUUAUUUCAAAUUGGUGUUUUUGGGGUUAGAAGGCACAUUCACCCAAAAAUCGCAGAGUGACAUGUUUGUUAUCAGCCCAAACCAAGCAUAGGUGUUUUGGUUCCUUCUCAAUAGAAAGAGGACAAAUAAGCUUGCAUUGUUCUUUCGGUGUUCAAUCCCCACAAAUAGAAAUGCGAAGUGUAAUAAGCCUAAACAAAGCCAAACAGGUUCUUUUGGGUUCCAGCUACAUAGAACGAAGAAUCUUGGAUUUCGCGUAUUUCAAGUCAUGUUCUUUGGUGUUAAUGCACAUUGACCCAGAAAUCGCAAAGUGUGUGUAAUGAGACCAAAAUAACACAACAUUGUCUUUUCGCUUCCAUAUGCGUAGAAAGAAGACAAAUAAGCUUUGAUUGUGCUUAUUUCAAUUCGCAUGGGGUUUUAUACCCAGGGUGCACCAGAAUCACCCCCAACCAAAGCAAAAAGGUCUUUUGGGUUCCAUCUACAUAAAAAGAAAAUUAUAAAGCUCUGAUUGGGCUCAUUUCAAAUUGGUGUUUUUGGGGUUAGAAGGCACAUUCACCCAAAAAUCGCAGAGUGACAUGUUUGUUAUCAGCCCAAACCAAGCAUAGGUGCUUUGGUUCCAUCUCAAUAGAAAGUGGACGAAUAAGCUUGUAUUGUUUUUUCGGUGUUCAUUCACGCACAAUUAGCAAAGCGAAUUGUAAUAAGCCUAAACAAAGCUAAAUAGGUUCUUUUGGGUUCCAGCUACAUAGAACGAAGAAUCUUUGAUUUCGCUUAAUUCGUCGUGUUCUUUGGUGUUAAUGCACGUUGAUCCAGAAAUCUCAAUGUGUGUGUAAUGAGACCAAAAUAACACAGCAUUGUCUUUUCGCUUCCAUAUGCGACAAAUAAGCUUUGAUUGCGUGGCGAGUUCCUGCCCCCCACCAGGAUAAAUAAAGACACGAGACACCAUGGUUUAAGGUUAAAUGGGCGAAUUAGGCCACAACUUUAUUGAAUUCAGGAAUGAGGGGCAUUGGCCCUAACGACUAUCCGGCUCCAGCCCAUUUGCUGGAGACACGGGGAAGGGUUAACACUAUAUCGGGGGAGUCUCCUGCCGAGGCACGUCGACUAGGAGCUCCCCCGGGUCACCGCUCGGGGGCGUGCCUUUGGCCCACACCUCCAUAGGCUUCGGACAGGGCCACGCUCCCCGGAGUCCUUUAACGGACCACCCUUCGCUCACUGGGGGGAGGUGAUGGCAUUCCUCCCCCCGCACACAUCCUCUUAACCCCUUCUUACCAAUGCCUACCGCCAAUGCCGAAGAGUUGUGACAAGUUGCUACGAGGUAGGCAAAAAACCAAAUGGCUGUAAAUUGCCCAUUGGGAAAAAUUCCUACCAUGCCCCAUGCGGCGACAGACCGAAGUCCAUAGCAAAGUCAGAGACCUACCUAAAGCCUAACUAAAGGGAGGGAGGGCGGGAAAACGUGGGGGCUAGCUGGCGAAAAGAGGGUGAGCCCCCUCUGCGCCGGCCCUAAAUAGGGCAGACACGGCCGGGAUUCCCCUGGGCAGGCCGGAAGUGGCUUUGCGUGGCGAGUUCCCGCCCCCCACCAGGAUAAAUAAAGACACGAGACACCAGGACUUCCGGCGAGGCAGCAUGGCGGCUGCAACAGCAGAAAAGAGCUCCUGAAGCCAGCCAGAGUAAAAGGCUCUGUCUGGCCGAUUCCCGGACCCCCAGGACUGCUGCCGCCAGCACUGCCAGCGGAGAGGAAUCGGGGGUGCCUGGGGCGCCUAUCAAAGGAGCCAAAACACCCCCCCACGACCUUGAUUGAGCCGGAAAGGCACCCGACCACCCCCCCAACAGCCGAGAGGAGCUCCAAAACCAGGAGGACAGUGGAGCUAACGCAAAGAGGGCGAAAAAAAGGGGGAGAGAGGAAGAAAAAGAAAGAAAAAGGAACCCCAACUUUACCACUGCUGCCCCCAUCUCUGCCGACG
Non-coding RNA from Podarcis lilfordi (Lilford's wall lizard), 9216 nucleotides. The record is from the annotation of a GenBank genome assembly. NCBI's taxonomy places the organism in Eukaryota, Metazoa, Chordata, Lepidosauria, Squamata, Lacertidae.